UAUUGGAUUAACAAGAAUUAUCUUACUUUAAAUUUCUUGCUUUAAAAAAAAAAAAGAAUUAUCUUACUUCAUGUAUGGUAUGCCAACUGUUCGAUAAAGGUCCUUUUAGAAAUCUUCUAUUGAUUACCUUGCGAAGACCACAAAACUAGACACACCCAAAAGCAUUCUUGCAUAGUUUAUACAUAGAGAUGGCCGAUUGAUGAUCGUCUUAUUUGUAGACUUAACGCGAGCAGACUCGAUCGCUUAGUCCUUAUUGAUUUACGACACACAUGCUCACACACACACAUACACACAUCACAAAAUCACACAAAUUGACGGAUAAUGUUGCCGUUCAGCUCCUUCCUGAACCUCACCGCGGCAUUUUUCUGCACCAUAGUGGCCGUGAAAUACCACGAGACGAUGUCAUGGACGGCGACGUGUUGUCCGGUGGCGGCGGAUAGCCCGACCUGAACCUGCUGAGGAACAAAGUCGCUCAAAUCGUACUCAUAGUUGACAUCAAAUGUCUGCGAGCCGGCGGUGACUUUCACGGAGAUCAUCCUUGUGGCUCCGACGUAGUUGAUCCGCGCAGUCACCUGCUGCCCGAGUAUGGAGUUGUCGACCUUCGUCGUGUUGCUGGAUGCCCUAGAGCCGAAGUCGAUGCCGAUGUGGGGAUAGAGCGGAUCCCACGCGCCGUUGACGUAGGUGUCGAUUUCGACGGCGAAGACCGAGGGGCUGUUGCCGUUGGAGCCAAAGAUUCCGAGGUUGGCUCCGUUGGAGCCAGGGGGGAUGGUGGAACCGACGGGGGCAAUGAAGAAGGCGAGGCCGUCGGCAGGCUCGUUGUCGGCGCCCGGGGUGAUGAUGAAGUUCACAGUGGUUUCGAAGUCGACCUGCCCACCGGACUGCGAGAAUUGGACCGGGUUCGAGUGCAAGACGCGGCCGACUUGUGAGGGCUGUGCGUCUGUGAGGCGGAGGAAGGUGGAGUCCGUCGGGAAAUGGGCGCUGCCUUGAUAGAUGAGAUCUUUCGGCUGGUCGCCCCAGAAGUCGUAGGUGAAGGACGUCGUUUGGGACAACGCCGUGUUGGAAACGGCGAGGAGGAGGGCGAUGGAGGCGAGGAGAGGAGUUAAGGUUUGAACAAGCUGGUUGGCCAUGGCUUAAUUGAUUUAGAUUUAGAUUUAGAGAUGUGGUGGAUGAUGGUGGCCAGGUAUCGAUCUCUUGCACCUAUUUAUACUAGUAUGGUUCAUGCCUGUUAAUAAUUGUAUAUAUCAAUCAAUCAUCGUGCAUCUAUCCCAAAUUAUAUGUCUUAUUAUUCACUAAUUAGAUGGAAUAAAUCCUAAUUAGCAAUCUUAAAAUUACACCGCCAAUGAGGCCUUGCUCUAGUGGUAAAGCUGUGGCACCGAAUAACUUUUCUUUGUGAAAGGUCUUGGGUUCAAUCUCGCCUGCAUGCGGUGAUGUUUGUCCAUUUUAGAUGGUGUGGUAUUCUUGCCUGCGUGCGGUGUUGUAUUAUUUAGUCUUAGGCGUUCUUGCCUGUGUGCAUAUCACUGUGUGACAAUUAAAAGAAUGACUUUAAAAUAAAAGUUAAGCCUUAAAAAUUUAAUCUACAUUCAUAUAUAACUGAAAUUACAUGCAUGUCUAAUUUUUUUAAUAUCAUAACAAGAUAAGAUUUAUUAAAUAAUUCAGAUGCAUAAAUAAAAAGUUAAUCUAUAAACACAGUAUAGAUAUAUUAUCAAUGAUAGGCCGUGUAUAAGUCUUAAUCUGUAAAACUAUAUCAUCCCAGCCUUAAACGACUACCAUUCCUGCUUUCCCAGAGCAACCACACUGUUCCCACCCACAAAGCUUUAAGCAGUACAUGCAUGUCUAAAUAUUAUUUAUAAUUAUCAAUAACAAGAUUAAUGAUUCUAUAUCUCUAUGUUUAUACAUAUAUUCACGUAUGACAUAGUAUAUAUUAGCUAUUAAGUUAAAAACUAAUAAAAUACUACAGUUUUGCAUAGGAUAUAUAUUUAAUUAGUAGUAGGAUAGGACACGUGUAUUAAUUUUAAGGGCAAGUAAUCAAACUUUUGAAUGAUUCAUCAUGCUUAAAAAAAAAAAGAGACCUAGAUAGAUGAUUCAUCAGAUUCAAAAACAAGUAUAAAUAGACUUCGAGUUUGAAAUUUUAAUUAAUUUGCAACAACAAUUCAAACUGACUGUAUUAAGGUAAGUAGUUACAGAUUUCAUACACAUUAUAUGAUUUCGCGCACAUACGUAUGUAUAUAUAAAUAUUUUUUAAAAUCAUAUACUCCCUCCGUCCCCAAAAUAAGUUCCUCUUUGGGGACGGCACGGAUUUUAAGGAAAAGUGGUAAAGUGUAUUAAUAGUGGAGAAAAAUAUGUUAUAAUUAGUAUUGGAAGUUGUGAAAAGGUGAAAAAGUGUUAUAAUUAGUAUUGGGAGUGGUGAAAAAGUGAAAAGUAAGAAUAAAUAAAGUAUUAUUAGUGGUGGGGUAGUUGUCCAAAAAUGGAAAAAAAGAAAGAGGAACUUAUUUGGGGGACAUCCCAAAAUGGAAAAAGAGGAACUUAUUUCAGGGACGGAGGGAGUAUUAUAUAAUAAUUAUAUUUAAGUUUUAUAUUAUUCUUUAUAAACUAUUGUUCCAUUCUAUAUAAUUAGGUGUGGCACGACUAGGACGUAACUUUCGAUUGAAUUUCUCAAGUUAAUUUUCAAGUUCAAGUUUCAGGUGUGAGAUUUAUUUAAAUACAUGUCAUGAUUAUUCAUUGUCCAUUUUAAUAGUAUGUGUUUACCAUAUGUGUUAUGACGCAUAUUUUGAGGACAUCGCUAGGAGCCCAUAAAUAGGGUCCAGGACUUCACCGUCCUUGGAUUGCCACAAUGCGAUUUGAGGUUUAUUUUGAGGAUGUCGUCAGGGGCCCGUAAAUAGGGUCCAGGACUUUAAUAGUCAUUGGGUUGCCACAGUGCGAAUAUUGAAGAUAUAUAUGAAGUGACCGUAUGUGUUACCGUUUCAUUAACGUGGACAAUGAUUGCAUGUUUAAGAGACAAUAACCAAUUUUUCAGACAUUUGUGAACAAAAUGAAGCAUGUUUAGAGAUCCUUAAUAAAGGUGUACGAAAUGAUGGAUAAAUAAGUUUGUGAAACAAAUUUCACCAUACCUAACCCCACAAUUAUUUGCGGUCGAAUUUCCUCGUCACAGGAAAAAGAGAUGAUGACAAAAGGGCAAAAAUUAAUUAACAAAGUAGAAGAUGCAUGACAACUGUAAAAGAAAAAUAAUGCUACUAAUUAAAUAGUCCAAACUUCAUACGUUUCAUAUCAUAAGUGGCAGUUCUAUUUUUUUUUUGCGAAAGUGAACAAAAUAACGAAUAAUUUUUAAAGUAAUAGUAAUAAGGAGAUGUGUUUUGACAGAAAACGACAUGAGCGGCCUAAAAAUAAGAGGGAAAAAGAUAAUCAUAUAAAUAUGGGUUAAUUGCCUCUAAAUACACCACCUUUCCUUGAAUUCUACAAUUGCACAUCACCUUUAAAAUCCGCCCUUAAAUACACCACCUUUCCUUGAGUUCUACAAUUGCACAUCACCUUUAAAUCCGCCCCAAAAUACAUCAUCUUUAUAUUUUUUCUGUUUUUGCACAUGACUAAAAAAUUCUCAAGAAAUAAAUUAAAGUGUUAAUUUAUAAAUUUAAAUAUCUUUUUAGCAGCGAAAACAUAAUAAAAUAAAAUUCUUUAUAAAGUUUAAAAUCAUAUAUAUAUAUAUAUAUAUAUAAGUAUUUUCGUAAAGAAAUAAAUUCUCUAAUAAAUUUUUAGAAAGAACUUGAAUUAAAAAAAUAAACAAGUCAUGACAUUAAGAAAAUAAAAUGAAAUUUUUAUUUUAAUAAAUUUCACACGAAUUCGAUAUAAUUUGGAAUUUAGAGUUACAAUAAUCAGAAGUACCACAUGAAUAAUAUAAUGAGUUUGAAAGAAAUUUUUUUUAAAGAGGUUCGACACGCCCAUUCGACUUUCCACGCGCCUCCAAUGUCAUUUACCUGAAAUAUUAANUAUAUAAGUAUUUUUCGUAAAGAAAUAAAUUCUCUAAUAAAUUUUUAGAAAGAACUUGAUUAAAAAAUAAACAAGACAUGACAUUAAGAAAAUAAAAUGAAACUUUUAUUUUAAUAAAUUUCACACGAAUUCGAUAUAAUUUGGAAUUUAGAGUUACAAUAAUAAAAAGAACCACAUAAAUAAUAUAAUCAGUUUGAAAGAAAUAUAUAUAUAUUUUUUUAAAGAGGUUCGACGCGCCCAUUCGACUCUCCACGCGCUACCAAUGUCAUUACCUGAAAUACUAAAUAUGGGAUAAGCAUACAUAAUAUACUUAGUGUGGGAACAUGCAAUUAUUGUCCACGUUAAUAAAAUAGUAACACAUACGAUCAUAACAUUCAAAACGACACAAUUUUGCCAAUAUGGAAGCCACGUCAUUUAAAGUGGUAACACCCUAAUCUAACUAAAGUGUUAAAUAUAAAUUUAAAGCGGAAAUAUAAUAAAAUAAAGUUCUUUAUAAAAAUAAAUAAAGAAUUUUAUUUUAUUAUAUUUCCGCUGCUAAAAAAGAUAUUUAAAAUUUAUAAAUUAACACUUUAAUUUAUUUCUUGAGGAUUUUUAAGUCAUGUGCAAAAACAGAAAAAAAAUAUAAAGGUGAUGUAUUUUGGGGCGGAUUUAGAAUUCAAGGAAAUGUGGUGUAUUUAGGGGCGGAUUUUAAAGGUGAUGUGCAAUUGUAGAAUUCAAGGAAAGGUGGUGUAUUUAGGGGAAAUUAACCCUAUAAAUAUUCAAAAUCAAACGGAUUGGCAUGUAUUCAUCAUUUUUUAUUUUUUAUUUUGAUAAUUUAACAGUAUUAAAUAAAGAAAUUUAUAGGCUGCGUCCCUUACUGCUUGGCUUUUAGAUUAUGUUGUAAUAAUAAAAUUAAAAGCACGUUUACAAUAUAAAAUUAAUUAUGAUAAAUACAAUAUAUUAAUAAUAAAUACUCAAUUACCUCUUAACAUAAUUCGCGCAUCAUGGCUUUUAGCUUAUAUUAUAAAGAUAUAAUAUGUUGUCUAUAAUAAUCGACGGAAGGUAAUAGACAACAUGUUUUACUUCUUGUCUAUAAUAAUAUAGACAGUAGAUCUAGUGUUAUAGAUAACAAUUAAUACGUGUUGUCUAUAUGAUGAUAGACACCAAAAAUCUCUGUUGUCUAUUCUAUGACAAAAAAAUUUAAAAAAAUUCUAAUAUAUUUACAUCCCUGUAUUACAAUACCAAUAUAUAUGAAAAAAUAAAAAUAAUUAAAAAUCAAAUAAUCAAACAAUACUUAUAAACCACUAAUACUCACAAUCAAAUAUUUACACAUCAACAAUUGUAUUAUCUUUAAUUACGCCUUCAUUUAUCUACUAAAAAAAAUCUCUAAUAAAAUCUCUAACUAACUCCGGUCAUCAUCUCUUGAAGGCUUAGAAAAUGUCCAAAUACAGCGGCACAUGCUCAUUAUUGUGUGAGCGAUGAGAACUUUGCGCUGAACCUAUAAAGUAACUAUACUUAACUGGUAAAGUAAUUGUAUCCCGUGAAUCUAAAGGAAGAAUAAACACGUUGAUAGAGUUUGAAAGAAAAGAAUAAAGAGAAUGAAAAUCCAAAGAAUUUGCUUCUUCCGUUGAACAAUCCCUACACAACGUUGAAAUAUCAAUGAAAACAAUGGCUAUCCUAUACUCCCUCCAUCCAUGAAAGAACUUCCUAGGAGGGAGUGACACGGGUUUUAAGAAAAAAUAUUGUUAAGUGUAUUGAGAGUGGAUAAAAGGUAGUUGAGUGUAUUGGGAGUGGUGAAAAUGUGUUAUAGUUAAUAUUGAGAGUUGUGAAAAGUGAAAAGUAAGAGGAUUAUAAGUGGUGGGGUAUAGUCCAAAAAUAGGUAGGAAGUUCUUUUGUGGACGUCCCAAAAAGGAAAGAUAUGAAGUUCUUUCGUGGACGGAGGGAGUAUUAUUUUGCAGCAGCAACCACGUUUAAAAACUCGAUCCCUCUAUUCUUGAAUUUGUGAAAUUUCCGACUGAUUUAUUAGAUUCACCAUUUAUUUCAGUUUAAUUAGUCUAUAUAUAGAUAUUUCUUAUAUUAUUAAAUUGUUAACCUCAUGGUAGAUUUCAAGAUUUGAAAAUUCAACAAAGAGCUUGAGAAUUAUAGAGAUUGGAAGGGGAAGAUGAAACAUAGUUGGGUGAAAUUAGAAACCAAUUAAAGUCAGGAGAUUGAAGAAAAACAUAACUUAAAAACACAAAAUAAGCAAAUCGUAGAUGCAGUAUCUUGCAAGAAAAAGUUCAUAUUCCCAAGGCUAUGAUGAGCACGAAUUAGGGUGUGUCUGCAUUUUAUCCCUCUAAAUGGAGGAAUAAUAAAAUUUUAUGCCUUUAAAUGUUUGCUUUCUUAUCACACAUUCUAAACAAACACCAUUUUUUCUUCCUUAUUUUCACUUCAAUGAGGGAUAAUAUUAUCCCUCCAAUUUUGGUGUGAUAAUAUUAUCCCUCCUACAAGUGAAAAUAAGGAAGAAAAAAUGGUACUCCCUUCGUCCCAAACGAAAUGUCCUGUUUUCCUUUUUGGGCUGUCCCAAACGAAAUGUCCUGUUUCCUUUUUUGGCAAUACACUCUCUCUCUAUACUUAAUAUUUAAAUAAUUUUCACCAACCCACUUUAUCUACUUUAUACACAUUUCUUAAUCUCCGUGCCGAAAAGAAAUGGGACAUUUCGUUUGGGACGGAGGGAGUAUUUGUGUAGGAUGUGGGAUAAGAAAACAAACAUUUAAAGACAUAAAUUUUUGUUAUUCCUCCAUUUAGAGGGAUAAAAAGCAAACACACCUUAGAGUCUAAUUACAAUUUAGGCGCAGGCUGUGUGAGAAUUACUUAGUCGAAUAGGAUCCUUAGUAUUUAUAUUUCUCAUGUUCUUGUGUAUUUUUUCACUGAUUCACUAUUGGAUUAACAAGAAUUAUCUUACUUUAAAAAAAAAAAAGAAAUGAUCUUACUUCAUGUAUGGUAUGCCAACUGUUCGAUAAAGGUCCUUUUAGAAAUAUUCCAUAGAUUACCUUGCAAAGACCACAAAACUAGACACACCCUGCAUAGUUUAUACAUAGGGAUGGCCGAUUGAUGAUCGUCUUAUUUGUAGACUUAACGAGAGCAGACUCGAUCGCUUAGUCCUUACUGAUUUACGACACACAUGCACACAUACACAGAUACACACAUCACAAAAUCACGCAAAUUGACGGAUAAUGUUGCCGGCCAGCUCCUUCCUGCUCCACGCCACGGCAUUUUUCUGCACCAUGGUGGCCGUGAAAUACCACGAGACGAUGUCAUGGGUGGCGACGUGUUGUCCGGUGGCGGCGGAUAGCCCGACCUGAACCUCCUGAGCAACAAAGUAGCUCAAAUCGUACUCAUAGCUGACAUCAAACGUCUGAUUGCCGGCGGUGACUUUGACGGAGAUCAUCCUUGUGGCUCCGACGUAGUUGAUCCGCGCAGUUACCUGCUGCUUGAGUAUGGAGCUGUCGACCGGCGUCGUCUUGCUGGAUACCCUAGAGCCGAAGUCGAUGCCGAUGUGGGGAUAGAGCGGAUCCCACGCGCCGUUGACGUAGGUGUCGAUUUCAACGGCGAAGACCCCGGGGCUGUUGCCGUUGGAGCCAAAGAUUCCGAGAUUGGCUCCGUCGGAGCCAGGGGGGAUGGUGGAGUCGACGGGGGCAAUGAAGAAGGCGAGGCCGUCGGCAGGCUCGUUGUCGGCGCCGGGGGUGAUGAUGAAGUUCACGGUGGUUUCGAAGUCGACCUGCCCAUUGGACAUCCAGAAUUGGACCGGUUCCGAGUACAUGACGCGGCCGACUUGGGACGGUUGUGCGUCUGUGAGGCGGAGGAAGGUGGAGUCCGUCGGGAAAUGGGCGUUGCCUUGAUAGAUGAGAUCUUUCGGCUGGUCGCCCCAGAAGUCGAAGGUGAACGACGUCGUUUGGGACAACGCCGUGUUGGAAACGGCGAGGAGGAGGGCGAUGGAGGCGAGGAGAGGAGUUAAGUUGGCCAUGGCUUAAUAGAUUUAGAUUUAGAGAUGUGGUGGAUGAUGGUGGUAUCGAUCUGUUGCACCUAUUUAUACUAGUAUGGUUCAUGCCUGAUAAUAAUUGUAUCAAUCAAUCAUCGUGCAUCUAUCCCAAAUUAUAUGUCUUAUUAUUCACUAAUUAGAUGGAAUAAAUCCUAAUUUGCAAUCUUAAAAUUAAACCGCCAAUGAGGCCUUGCUCUAGUAGCAAAGCUGUGGCACCCAAUAACUUUUCUUUGUGAAAGGUCUUGGGUUCAAUCUCGCCUGCAUGCGGUGAUGUUUGCCCACUUUAGGUGGUGUGGUAUUCUCGCCUGCGUGCGGUGUUAUAUUGUUUAGUGUUAAGGUCCCACAUGCAGGGCGUUCUUGCAUGUGUGCGUGUCACAACCCAAAACCAUUUAUUUUCUUUACAAAUUUUAUAUGAAAAUUAUUUGAUUUUUAAGUUAUAGAGUUUUCGAUAUAUAUACAUAUAGUGUCAAUUUUAUGUUAACUUAGUCGUGUCCCUAAUUAAAAGAAUGAAUUUGAAAUAAAAGUUAAGCCUUAAAAAUUUAAUCUACAUUCAUAUAUAACUGAAAUUACAUGCAUGUCUAAAUAUUAUUUAUAAUUAUCAAUAACGGGAUUAAUGAUUCUAUAUCUCUAUGUUUAUACAUAUAUUCACGUAUGACAUAGUAUAUAUUAGCUAUUAAGUUAAAUAAAAUACUACAGUUUUGCAUAGGAUAUAUAUUUAAUUAGUAGUAGGAUAGGACACGUGUAUUAAUUUUAAGGGCAAGUAAUCAAACUUUUGAAUGAUUCAUCAUGCUUAAAAAAAAGAGACCUAGAUAGAUGAUUCAUCAGAUUCAAAAACAAGUAUAAAUAGACUUCGAGUUUGAAAUUUUAAUUAAUUUGCAACAACCAUUCAAACUGACUGUAUUAAGGUAAGUAGUUACAGAUUUCAUACACAUUAUAUGAUUUCGCGCACAUACGUAUGUAUAUAUAAAUAUUUUUUAAAAUCAUAUAUUAUAUAAUAAUUAUAUUUAAGUUUUAUAUUAUUCUUUAUAAACUAUUGUUCCAUUCUAUAUAAUUAGGUGUGGCAUGACUAGGACGUAACUUUCGAUUGAAUUUCUCAAGUUAAUCUUCAAGUUCAAGUUUCAGGUGUGGGAUUUAUUUAAAUACAUGUCGUGGUUAUUUAUUAUCCAUUUUAAUAAUAUGUGUUUACCAUAUGUGUUAUGAUGCAUAUUUUGAGGAUAUCGCUAGGGGCCCAUAAAUAGGGUCCAGGACUUCACCGUCCUUGGAUUGCCACAAUGCAAUUUGAGGUUUAUUUUGAGGAUGUCGUCAGGGAUCCGUAAAUAGGGUCCAGGACUUUAAUAGUCCUUGGGUUGCCACAGUGCGAAUAUAUUGAGGAUAUAUAUGAAGUGACCGUAUGUGUUACCGUUUCAUUAACGUGGACAAUGAUUGCUUGUUCUCACACUGAGUGUACUCUGUAUGCUCAUCCCAUAUUUAACGUGGAAGGUCGAUUGACGAAUCAAAUAUUUUGUAUUUAGCUUUACCUAAAUAUGUUAUUUUGAGUAAAGUAUUUUAAAUAAAAAUUUAUUUCAUAAUUUUCUCAUUAAAUAUUUAUUUAUAUUCAUAGCUUUUCCGCACAAAUAUUUAUUUAAAUUUUAAUUAGAUUUGGGUGUCACUGUGCGGUGAUGUUUUUCCACCGUUUCGGUGGUGGUGAGGCCCCACCUGCGUGCACGUUAUAUACUUGAUUAUAUUCAGAUACCUCUUGUAAUUUUUAAAAAAAUAAUCAUAAAAUUAAACCAAAGCAUAUAAAAUUGAAAUUGGCCAAAAAAAUAUAUAAAAAUAAAUAAAAUUAAAAAUGGGAUAUAAAGUGAGACAUUAAAUGUGGUACACUACUGAAUCUCAAUCCAACACGUGGAUGCUACAUUGUACUUGUCGGAAUAUUAGAACUUCUACAAAAUAUUGCUAUUGGAAACGUGAAAUUUUAUUAUGAGAAAACUUAUACCUGACCCCACAGUCGUGGGCACGUGUUAUGUUGCGCGGAAAUUAAAGUGGUGGGGACCGUAAAUGGUAUUUUAGUCUUUUAAUUUAUUUUAGUAUACAAAAGAGUUAAUUUUAAAGAGGCGCUAAAAAACACAUCACUUUUAAAAAUUGGUAUUUAAAAUCUUGAACCCCUUUUAUUAUUUUAGAAAGAUAUUAAUUAAUUGAUAAAUUAAUAAAUUAUUAAUUGAAACAAUUAUUUUAAGCAAAUUUAAUUAUAAUUACCUAAAAAUUUAAAAAACAUAAAUUCAAUACCAUUCAAAUUCAACAAACUAACUUAAAUUUUUACUUUAAAAAAUCUUCAUCAAUCUUGCAAUCUCGGCUUGGACUAUAAAUGUUCAACAAGAGACAAUAACCAAUUUUUCAGACAUUUGUGAACAAAAUGAAGCAUGUUUAGAGAUCCUUAAUAAAGGUGUACGAAAUGAUGGAUAAAUAAGUUUGUGAAAAUUUCACCAUACCUAACCCCACAAUUAUUUGCGAUCGAAUAUCCUCGUCACAGGAAAAAGAGAUGAUGACAAAAGGGAAAAAAAAAUUAACAAAGUAGAAGAUGCAUGACAACUGUCAAGAUAAAUAAUGUUACUAAUUAAAUAAUCCAAACUUUAUACGUUUCAUAUCAUAAGUGGCAGUUCUAUAUUUUUUGCGAAAGUGAACAAAAUAACGAAUAAUUUUUAAAGUAAUAGUAAAAGGAGAUGUGUUUUGACAGAAAACGACAUGAGCGGCCUAAAAAUAAGAGGGAAAAAGAUAAUCAUAUAAAUAUUCAAAAUCAAACGGAUUGGCAUGUAUUCAUCAUUUUUUAUUUUAAUAAUUUAACAGUAUUAAAUCAAGAAAUUUAAAGACCGCGCCCCUUACUGCUUGGCUUUAAGAUUAUGUUACAAUAAUAAAAUUAACAGCACGUUUACAAUAUAAAAUUAAUUAUGAUAAAUGCAAUAUAUUAAUAAUAAAUACUCAAUUACCUCUUAACAUAAUUCGCGCAUCAUGGCUUUUAGCUUAUGUUAUAAAGAUGGAGUAUAAAAUAAUCAUCACCUGUGCAUGAUAUUUCACAAAAUAAUUAAAUAAUAAAAUAAUCAAUCAUAAUGCCAAGACGUGACUCUUGUCGGUCAUAUCUCAUCAACUUUAUCUAUAUAGUACAAUGAUGAUUAAUUUGAGAACGACGAUUAAGACACCAACUAUUCUUGUGGGGACACAUGCAUAUAUAGAAUUAAUAUUAUAAACUCUCUCGGUCCACGAAAUAACUUACUAUUUUUUCUUUUAAGAACGUGAACAAAAAAAAUUCCCAUCGAUAUUUCGGAACUAUACCCCACUACUUUAAAAUACCUCAUUUUACCCUUUCUUUUUCACAAAAACAACAAAUUACUAAUAAUUUUUCACUAUUCCUAAUAUACUGAACAAUUUUUCUCCACUCUCAAAUUUUGUAGCACCGAAUAAAAUUAAAUACUAGUAUUAUUUUUUGUAGAACUAUAAAUAAAUAUUAUUCUCAAAACAUGUACUAUUACUUACUAUUUUUUUUAAAUGUGGGACGACCAAAAAAGGAAAGAUGAAUUCUAAAAGCUGGGACAGAGGAUAUAUUAUUUUUCUUCUUGGUUCUGAAGUAUGAAUAUUAAUUAACAAUUCUUCGUCCACAUCAAGCUCACCUUCACGUAAUUUUUUCUUGAACAACACCGAAAAAUAUAUAAUCCCAACAUAGCAUGAUCAAUCUCAAUGCACCAAACAUAAAUUAGUUUUAAAAUAAUAAUAAGAUUAACUACUAUAUUGCUGAAUUAUGCAGUAGAAUUAAAAGCGUGAUUUUUUUUUAAUAGAGCAGGUUAAUCUAGGCCUACCUGAACCAUCUGACUAUGCAUGAGUUUGAUUUUUCUUCUUGAUCUUUUUUAAUUUUACCGACAAAGAAGAUUUUCACAAAUGAAAAGAAAACGUUCUAGUAACAUACUACAUGCUUACUUCAGAUUUGCAACCAAGUCUAUUGAGGGUUUUAUUUGCUACAUAUAUAAACACAAGGAUUUGGUUUGAUACAAAUUAAGAAUAUUCAACUUUCAUCGGCUCAAGCACAUAGAAUCUCCCCGAGUAGUUAUAACUGGUCAAUGUUUUUGCCGAUAAAAAGGAAAAGGAAAGAAAAAAGAAAGAAGCAAGACGGAGAAAAAGUUGUAGUAAAUGAUUAUGCGAUGAAAAGAAAAUGGAAAAGAGAAAGAAAGAAGAAAGUUGUAGGAAUUUUGAAGAAUUUGUACUUAUUUAGAAUUGUGGUUAUUGUGGGAUCUUGUAUAAUAAUAAUAAUAAUAAUAAUAAUAAUAAUAAUAAUUAUUGGGCCGUUCCACGAAUCUUGGCACAUUUUCAAAUAAGGUAAUAAUUCAUUCUCUCUCUUACUUUAUCACUUUAAUACUUUAUUAACUACAAACUUAAAACACUAAUAUACAAUUCCUUAAUUCCCGUGUCGAAACCAAACGUGUCAAGAUUCGUUGGAUGGAGGGAGUAAUAAUAAUAAUAAUAAUAAUAGUAAUAAUAAUAAUAAUAAUAAUAAUAAUACAUCAUUGCCCUUUAAAAAGUUUUAAAAUAGGAACAUAAUAUGUAAAUCUAAUUUUGUAAAAGAAGCUCUUCUAUAGUAAUAGUUAUAGAUUUGGUGUGGAGGCAUUUGUUUGAGAAUGGGUAAAACAUACCAUUAACCCUUUGAUAUAUGCACGAGACACUUAUUUGUGGAUAGGACAAGAAUUAUUUUGUUGCAUAGGAUCCCUUCCAAAUGUAAUUACUGAUUCACAAUUGGAUUAACAAGAAUUAACUUACUUCAUAUUCAGUAUUCCAACUGUUCGAUAAAAGUUCUUAAUGAAAUCUUCCAUAGAUUACCCAAAUGCAUUGUUUUGCAUAGUCCGUACAUUGAGAUGGUCGAGUAUCUUAUGUCUAGACUUAACGAGAGCAGACUCGAUCGCUUAGUCCUUAUUUAUUUACGACACACACACAUCUCAAAAUCACACAAAUUGACGAAUAAUGUUGCCAGCCAGCUCCUUCCUGUUCCACGCGCCAGCAUUUGUCUUCACCAUGGUGGCUGUGAAAUACCAUGAGAUAAUAUCAUGUUUGGCGACGUAUGGUUGGUUUAGUCCGCUGGCGGCGGAGAGCCCUACCUGAACCUGCUCAGGAAGAAACUCGCCCAAAUUGUACACAUGGCUGACCUCAAACGUCUUCGAGCCGGCGGUGGCACUGACGGUGAUCAUCUUCGUGGCUCCGACGUAGUUGAUCCGCGCAGUCACCUGCUGUCCGACUAUGGCGUCUCCGACAUUCGUCGUGUUGCUGGAUUCCCUAGAUCCGAGGUCGAUGCCGAUGUGGGGAUAGUUCGGAUCCCACGGGCUGUUGAUGAAGGUGUCGAACUCGACGGCGAAGACCGAGGGGCUAUUGCCGUUGGAGCCGAAAAUUCCGAGGUUGGCCCCAACAGCGCCACUGGGGAUGGUGGAGCCGACGGGGGCAAUGAAGAAAGCGAGGCCGUCAGCGGUUUUGCCAUCGGGGCUGGGUGUGAUGAUGAAGUUAAUGGUGGUUUCAAAGUCGACUUGGCCACCGGAUUGGGAGAACUGGACCGGCUUCGAGUACAAGACCCGGCCGACCUGGUAUGUCUCGAAGUCGGUGAGGCGGAGGAAGGUGGAGUCCGAUGGGAAAUGGGCGUGGCCUUGGUAGGUGAGAUCGGUCGGCUGGUCGCCCCAGAAGUCGUAGGUGAAGGACGUUGUUUGGGACCACACCGUGUUGGCAGCGGCGGCAAGGAGAAGGGCGAUGGAGAUUAGGGUUUGUUGAAGGUUGGCCAUCGCUUAAUUGAUUUGGAUGUGGUGGAUGAUGGUGGUAUCUUUAUCUUGCUUCUAUUUAUAGUAGUAUAACGAGCCCUAGUUAAUUAUCUUUAAAUCAUACUAAAAUAUCAUAAAUUAAAAUUGAAGAAAAAAAAGUUAAAACCUACUCUCGCAGUCCCUCAAAUAACUUCUUAGGAGAAGAGGGGUAGGAGUUUUAAGACGAAGUUAAUGUGCAAAGUAAGGAUAAA
Molecule: long non-coding RNA, 13988 nt
Filed under: Salvia miltiorrhiza (redroot sage)
Lineage: Eukaryota; Viridiplantae; Streptophyta; Magnoliopsida; Lamiales; Lamiaceae
Description: long non-coding RNA (SMIL_LNC011427)
Source: RNAcentral